This 481-nucleotide ribosomal RNA is filed under the name uncultured bacterium. Its description in RNAcentral is "partial 16S ribosomal RNA". It matches the Rfam family "Bacterial small subunit ribosomal RNA", at positions 28 to 507 of the family's 1533-position model. The record is from RNAcentral.
GAUGAACGCUGGCGGCGUGCUUAACACAUGCAAGUCGAACGAAGCAUUUAGGACAGAUUACUUCGGUUUGAAGUUCUUUAUGACAGAGUGGCGGACGGGUGAGUAACGCGUGGGUAACCUGCCUUGUACUGGGGGAUAGCAGCUGGGAACGGCUGGUAAUACCGCAUAAGCGCACAAUGUUGCAUGACAUGGUGUGAAAAACUCCGGUGGUAUAAGAUGGACCCGCGUCUGAUUAGCUAGUUGGUGAGAUAACAGCCCACCAAGGCGACGAUCAGUAGCCGACCUGAGAGGGUGACCGGCCACAUUGGGACUGAGACACGGCCCAGACUCCUACGGGAGGCAGCAGUGGGGAAUAUUGCACAAUGGAGGAAACUCUGAUGCAGCGACGCCGCGUGAGUGAAGAAGUAAUUCGUUAUGUAAAGCUCUAUCAGCAGGGAAGAUAGUGACGGUACCUGACUAAGAAGCUCCGGCUAAAUACGUG